GGGAUUUAAAGGAUGUAAAAACAUGAGUGAGUAAUCAAGCCAGUAAAAUUCGAAAGACUAGAACAGGGGAUCAUAGCAUGUUUCUGAAAGGGGAACUUGAACAUUAUUGAGAAAUCAGUAUGUCCCAAGUAAUUUUUAGGCUUUUUCCAAUUCUAAACAAACCAUGCAAGGAUUUUAAAUCAUGAUAGCAUUUUUUAAAAAAUAAAGUAAGCAACAAUGGUUAAAGAAUGCUUGAAAAAUGGAACUGGAAGUUGGUAUUUGCUUAUUAGAUGCUAGAGAAUUAGGUAAUAGUUAAAGCAUGUUAAAUACUGAGACUAGCCAGAGAAAAUAGUGACCAAGAAGAGAGCAAUAACCUGGAACUUAAGUUUAUAAAAUAGAAAAGUAUAAUAGGAGAAUACCUUUCAAAUGGAUGUAGUGGCUCAUGCCUGUCAUUCCAGCAACUUGGAAGCUGAGGCAGAAGAAUCUCAAGCUUGAGGUCAGCCUCAGGAACUUAGUGGGACCAUCAGCAACCUAGCAAGACCCCCCCAGCAAUUUAGUGAGAACCUGUGUUUUAGUCAGCUUUUUUUUACUGCUGUAAACAUAAGACAUGACAAAAACAAUUUUGAAGAGAAAAAAUUUAUUUUGUGGCUCACAGUUUCAGAGGUCUCAGUGCAUAGACAGCUGGCUCCAUUUCUCAGAGCCUGUGGAAAGGUAUAACAUCAUGGUGAAAGGGUGUGGUGGAGGAAGGCAGCUCAAUGUGGGGGAGGGAAGGAGAGGGGGAGGGAGGAAGAGAGAGAGAGAGAGACUGACUACUCUGUUCAACAAGGACAAAAUAUAAACCCCAAGAUAACACCCAAUGACCAACCUCCUCCAUCUAUACCCUACCUGCCGAUAGUUACCACCUAGUUAAUUUUUAUCAGGGGGUUACUGCACUGAUUAAAUUAAGAUUCUCUUAACCCAAUAUUUUCACCUCAAAACUUUCUUGCAUUGUCUCAUGAGCUUUUUUUUUUUUUUUUUUUUUUUUUUUUUUUGGUAUAGGGAUUUAAUUCAAGGGCACUCAACCACUGAGUCACAUCCCCAGCCUAUUUUGUAUUUUAGUUGUUUAGAGUCUCGCCAUUGCUGAGGCUGGCUUUGAACUCAGUCCUCCUGCGUCAGCCUCCCAAGCCACCGGAAUAUACAUGGGCUUUUGAUGGAUGCUUGAUAUCUAAAUAAUAACACCCUGUCUCAAACUAAAAUAUAAAAAAGGGGGGGAUAUUGUUCAGUGGUAAAGUGCCCCUGUGUUCAGUCUCCAGUACAAAAAAAUUAUACAUACACAUACACACACACACUCACAUACACACAAACACACCCACCCACACAGAAAUGAAUUGCAAAUGUAAGGGUAAGGAAUUGUUUCUAAGUAAUGCUAGUAAAAUUAACUUUUUGAUGAAAAUUAUAUCAGAUUAUUGCAUCACAGCAUACAUAUAAAUAAAUUAAAGAAUUAAAAAUUCAACUAUAACAAAUGGGAAAUGGGACAGAAGAACAUUUAUAUCAUCCCUUAAGAGGAAGGACUACCUCAUCAAAAAGCAACAGAAAAUACCAUAGGAAAAGAAAACAUAUUUGACCAUAUAAAAAUAUAGAGUUCUGGACUUAAAGUACAGAUAAAAGGAAAGGGCAAAUCACAAACUAGGAAAGACUUAUACAACAGACGUCACACAAAAAAGCAUGUUACUAUCAUUUGUCAAAACUGCAAUACUGGUUACAUCCAAUUCCCAGCCUGUCAGUCUUAAACCUUCACAGAUGCAAGUGUCUGAUGAAAAAUACCAUGUGCAGUGGUCUAACUUUAAAUUGGCUGUUAAUUGCCUUCAAGUGAGACUUCAGUCUGCUUCUAAAAUUGUAAUAUAUUUGCCUGGUUCAUUCAGUCUCCCACAUUCCCCAAUCACUAUUUCAUACCCUCUCCUCACACUGCAAACUUUCAGCACCUCCUUCCCAUCUUCACUCUAAAUUGAUGGGUUUGCUUGUUUGACACAGAACUUCCACACACACCUUUUACUGUAUCAGCCCACCUUCCUCCAGUUCCAGAAGAUCUGUCUCUGCUCCCAGGCAACCCCUCCCCAAAGGCUCUAGUUCCCAUGCCUUCUCACCUACUCAAAGACAAGGAUGUGUCUCCAGCAAUCUGACCCUCCCCCCUCAACUGGAUUAUGCCCUACCGCUUACAGUCAUAAUAUCACAUUUUUUUUUUCACAUUCUUAAAAAAAAAUCCCUUUUGUCUUACUUCCCACCAAGUUGUUCCUCCAUAUCUGCUCUCCUCUGCAGCAGACUUCAUGGAAGAACUGACAUAUACCUCCUUGACAUUUCUAAUUCCUGCACUUUUGUUCUCUCUUAAACUCAAUCCAUUCAGACUUUUGCCCUCCCCCAACUUCAUGGCAACUGCUCUUGUCAAGGUCACCAUAACCUUCAGUUUUGAUAUCUAAAAUGGUGCUCCGUGUCUUUCUACAGCCCCCGCAAGUUGUUCCACUUGCAGCCUUCUCCAUGUCAGUUAAUGACACCAUCUUUCUAGUUAUUUAGACCCAAAAUCUGGAAGUCAUAUUUGACUCAUUUUCUCAUACUGUGCUUUCAGUAACACAGUGAUUCCAUCUUCCACAGAGAUCCAGAUGCUGAUCAUCUUGUCCCAUGGUCACUGCUACCACCCUUGUACUCCACAUCUCAAAUGGAUCAAUAUGAAAUCUCCUGAUUUUCCUCUUUUUUACCCUUGCUAUUUUUGUUCUUCAGCCAACAGUCAGAAUGACUCCUAAGUCAGGUUAGCAUGUCAGAUCAGUGCUCAAAACACUCCAAUAGAUUCCUGUUGCAGAAUAAAAAUGUCCUCAUAUAUGAUACACCCCCUCUUCCUCCUCAACUUCUAAACUCUCUCCUUGUUCUCUCUUCUAGCCACAGUAGUCUUCUUUCUGUUCCUGCAAAAAAACCAGAUGUGGUCACACCUUUUCAAUGGCUCUCUGUCUGGACUGUCUAAACUCAGACGUCCACCUGGGUUUCUUGCUCCCUCUUUUGUAUCUUCACCCAAGUAUCCCCUUCUCUGACCACUCUUUGCAUCUCUACCUGCAAUAUCUCUUUCCCCUCCCUUGCUUAAUUUUCACCUUAGUACUCAUCAUGCUCUCUCAUACUAUAUAAUUUAUUUAUUUUAUUGUCUUUCUGCCCCCUUAGAAUGAAAGCUCCAUGAUGUCAGGGAUUUUUGUAUGACUUUUUACAGAUGCAGUCUCAGUGCUGGCACAUUAUUGAUUGUUUAAUAAAAAAUUGUUGGAUAAAUUAAUGAAUUAAGUUUAAUGCCUAUAUAAAGACCAAAUGGAAGUGUAAGUCUCUUCUAAAUUCCCAAGAUGUAAUUUGAUAAUAUAUAUCAGAAGUCUUAAAUACUCAAUUAUUUCACUCCUAGAAAUUCAUCAGUACAGGUUUUCCCUAGUUAGUAUAAGGGAAACAUUGUUCCAGAGUAUUAAGAAGUAUGUGGGGAAGAAAGAGAAAGAAAAUUCUGAGAAAACAAAUUGCUUUACCUGCUGUAGUUCUCAGAGUUAGUUACAUUAUAAAUUACCUAGGGAACUUUAAAAUAUGUUAAUGCCUGUGUCCCACCUUGAGGGAUUCUGAUUUAAUUGGUUGAACUGGUUGUCUCUCUUUUUGUGAUAUUAGCGGCCUUUGGUGAUUAUGACUGAGAUCCAUUAGUUCAUUAGGAGACGAAGGUGGUAAUCCUGUUAUCUCCCGGUUUGUGUUCUUUAAUACACAAAAUGAAGGAUUCAAGUAAGUACUUUAUCUGGAAGCAUCCUUCCACCUGGGACACACUUUGCUCAUAUAAGAAAUGCUCUUAAUUAGGGGUUUGUGUGGAAACAUGUAUUGUUUCUUCCUGGUGAUUUACGUGUGUGUGUGUGUGUGUGUGUGUGUGUGUGUGAGAGAGAGAGAGAGAGAGAGAGAGAGAGAGCGCUUGCUAAUGCUCCAAAAUAAGAGAGCAUCUAUUUUUACUAUAGAGAAACUAUGAUAGUAAGUCAGAAUUCUGUAUAGUCCUCAAGUCCAUUCUAACGUGUGUCAGGCAUGAUGAUAGGGUCUCUCACAUACUUUUUGUAAGGCCUGUUAAAGAGUAGGGCUCUGAGACCAUGAAAGCUAGAUUUAUACACUGUUUUCUUCAUUCAUAUCUGUUCAUUCCCAGUGUUCUGGGAACAUCAGCACCAUACAGUAUUCUUAGAAUUCUGCAGGACUUUUUAUUCUGCAAAAACCUUUACUGCUCAGUUUGUAUAUGUGAUAUGUUGGAUUUUCUACAAUAUCCAUUAAAGUAUGAGGACCAUGAUAUCUGAACCAAUUAAAUAAAUCUUCCACCAGUAAAAAAAUAUUUUGCCCUGUUAGUUCUGAUGGAAAUAUUUUUAUUUUUCAUAAAUGAUAAAUUUGAGCAACUUUUUAGAAGUAUGGUACACUUGAAGAAGCUUUUGAGAAUGUAGAAGCCUCUGUCAUUAAAAAGAUAAUCAGUUGAUUUGAAUUAAUCUGUUAAGGGAUUAAGAGAAACUACAAAGUUAUUUCUCACAAGUAGAUUCCACUGCCUCCACACAGUCAGACACCGGGGAUCACAUGUUACUGAAUUUGUCACGGUGAUUUACAAAACCUUUGAGAAAUUAAAUUACCCAUUUAGAUAAUCAAAGAAGGGACAUGUUAGGACAAAUAACUUGUUUUUAGAAAAAGUUAUAUGUACCAGUUAAUUUAAAAUCAUACCUCCAUAACUCACUAUAAAAUCAGAACAAUCAUUUUACAUAUUAAGUAACAUAUUAAGUGGUAAGUGCUUAUAAGUAUAAUAGGCCUGGCACAGAGCAGAUGCUCAGGGUGUGUCAGCAUUGAUCAUUCUGAUUUGUGUAGCUACUACUGCAUUUAUAACUAAACAUUAUUUCUGAGCCUUUUGGUUAAAUCUUUUAAAGAAAAUUAAGACUUUUUUUUUUACCUUGCCAAUUAUGUUACAAAGUGGAUUAUUUAUGUAACAUGAGAACACUGUGGUUCUUCUAAAUUUUUUUUAUUCUUAGUUUCACCACACUAACCAUCUAUUAUCAAACAGUCCUUGUUGAGCUGUUUUUUUGAUGUUGUAAUAGUUCUAGUUCUUUUUUUGUUGGUAAUGGUGUUGGUGGUGGUUAUUUUAUUUUUUUGCUUUUUUAUUUUAUUUUAUUUUUUUUAGUACUGGGGAUUGAACCCAGGGUGCUUUACCACUAAGCUACAUACCCAGUUCUUUUUUUGGAACAGAGUCUUGCUAAGUUGUUAAGGCUGGCUGGCUUUGAACUUCCAAUCCUCCUGCCUGCAGCCUCCUGAAUCCCUUGGGAUUACAGGCAUGCACUACCACGCCCAUUUCUUGUAAUUGUUUUACAUAAAUGGAUAGUGCCACGUGGGAAUGAUUUUAAUAAUUCCAGAAACUAAAGCCUGUAAGUGAGUAUAGGUAGUGGGUGCUGGACACAAUUUACAUGAAACCUUUAUCAAUGAGGACUUUUAUCAAUGAGAUAUUGAAAACCUUUUAAUACAGAAUUCUAGUGGAUGCUUUUCUGUAUCAUACUGAGUCUCACUAAGCAAUCCCUUCAUGAAAAUUUAUGGUGUUGAGUUUCUGGGCACGAAGUAGAAGAGGCCAUCAUUUUAGAAUAAGUUUAUUUUUGGCUGUGAAAAACAAAGAAGGUCCAAAGAACACACAAGCUUUAGAAGGCAGAAGACCAGAAGACUGUGAAGUAAUAGUGUGAAUAUCCUAAAAAAUCAGCAAUAUAAUAAUUAUUACCUAACUGGGUGCACUGAGUGGCAGAUCUCCUUGUUUAUGUAAUUGAACGUUAAUAUUGGGAAAGGUUGUUUGCCUAGUGAUUGUUCUUCACAUCCCCUUUCUCUUUUCACUAACCAUCACCUUUGGGGAGUGAUUUGGGAGUAGUUGAAACCAACUAGCCUAACUUAAAAAAUUCCAAUACUGCCUGCACUAUCUUGUUUCUCAAAGCUGUCUUUAGUUUUGGUUAAUGAAAAAGCAUAUGGUUGCCAUUUCCUUUCUGAGAACUGCUGAGUUACUAGGGAAGGAAGUAGGAGAUGUUCAGCUGAGCUGUAUAGUGGGGGAGGGAGAUUUGGGAAGGGUUGGGCCAGCAAAAGCAGAGCACUAGCUUCUGCUUUUGCUGGGCUUGGUUUCCUAAGUGUCUGCUUCCUCUUUAUAAAAUGUCAACAUAAUUAGUCUGAGCAACCCUACAUAAUCUCCUCUUUCUGGGGGUAAAUAACUGAGAAUUUCAGGAGUGGCUAACUUUCUUUGCCAAAUACUUGGCCACAAAUCUACUUAACAUUCUUAAUUGGUUUCCUGUUUGUAUCUUUUUAAGAACUCAUCAAACUUUUUUUUUUUUAAAGUUCUGAUUUAAAUAUUGCUCAUAUGAGAGUGUUUUGCCUGCAUUAAAAAUAAGCUUUGAGGAAUGUCUGAUUGAAGUGUCUGUCAGAUAACCAUGGUGAACAGGAAGUUCUUUUCUGGAUUUGGAGUCUGGGGGAGACCUAAGGUUGGACCUUAGUUCUGCCAUUAACUGGCAUGUUUUCAUUUGAUGUAGAAAUCAUGCUCAUCAUAUUAUUUUACACCAUUUUCCAAUAUUACAUCAUUGUCUUUGGCACUCUGAGCCCUUUUGUCUGUGAACUGGAAGCUUCUGCUUCUUUAGAAAAAAAUCUUGACUCUCUUACUAAUGUUGUGAUUAUUUUUGAAACUUUUUUUAGGGUAAUAAUAUAGCUAUUCUUGCAGAUAAUCAGAAAGGAGAAAAAACUUGCAUGUUUCUUACAUACAAAUUCUUUGACAUGCCUCCCAACAUUUCUGUUGAUGAUCAGUUAACUAGAUGCUUAUUUUUUUUAAGAAUUAAUUUUUAGUUGUCCUUUUGCUACCACCUUAUUUCUUCCAUCGUUUUAAAUAAUCCCACCACUGAACUUUAAAUAUAAAAAUAUUUCUUAGCCGGAGACCUCUGGAGUAAAGAUUGCCUACAUUCAGAACCCAGUUUGAUCAUUCUCCAGCUAUGUGGUUUCUGGUGAGUUUUCUCAUCCUUAAAAUGGGGAUUAAAAUUAGCACUCCCUAUAAAGGACCCAUGAAAAGAUCAGUGUUAAGCGAUUACUCUUUCCUUUAAUAAUAGAAAAUUGGCUACUAGAAAAUAUUGAGUAUCCAUCAACCAUUUGCUAGACACGAGUUAAAUGUUUUCUGAUCCUAUUUCAUCCUCUAUGAGGUAGGGAUCUCAGGUCUGUUUUUCUGAUGAUUAAAUUAUGGACCAAAGGUCACACAACUGGUAAACAGUUCAAGGCCAGGUUUGUUUCUAAAGCACAUUUUUUUCUUUCUUCAGGUUAUGUUUCAGGGUUUCCCGACGCUGAUAUAUGAUUACUUUUGAUUUUAUAAAAACAAGUGUAAAUUAAAAGAAAAGUCAAAUGACGAAGGAAACCUGUCUGCAAAGAUAUUUAACUGCUUGUCUAUCUUCUUUGUUUUGUAGAGUGAAAAGUGAAAGACCAGGUAGGAUGGUCUGUGUUGAAGACCUGCCUGUUGAGCUGCCUGUAUGAUCUUCAUCAAGCAACCCUCAUCUUUCUGGAUCCCAGUUUAAAUAUGCUUAAAAUGGUGAAGCUGAGCUGAUCUCCAAAUUCCCUUCUGGUCCGAAAACUCCAAUGUUACAACCAUGGAACCAUUCACCAUCCCAGCCCGUUUUUCCUUGAUCCUGAACACAGCUAACCAUGCCAGAGCCCUGUUCUAAUUCAAUUGCAUACUUUUGCACCCGCUGAAUCCUAAACUCAAUCGUUCCCGUGACCGCAGGACCAAAGGGCAUGGGUUGGGGACCGAACGCUGAGUGGCAAGGAGAGAAAGGGAAGAAGACCCUGACGUUGGCCAGCUUGUAGUAAAAGCCGGCAGCAGGAAAGUUAAGCAGGGAAGAAUUGACGUUGCGCAGCG
This 7882-nucleotide long non-coding RNA is filed under the name Marmota monax (woodchuck). The record is from RNAcentral. Lineage: Eukaryota; Metazoa; Chordata; Mammalia; Rodentia; Sciuridae.